GUCUAAAUAUUCAACUAUGAUUUUAAAUUGCAAAUUUAAAGGUAAAAAUUUUUUUUUAGAUU
This 62-nucleotide transfer RNA is filed under the name Malachiinae sp. GENSP01. Its description in RNAcentral is "tRNA-Cys". The record is from RNAcentral. Lineage: Eukaryota; Metazoa; Arthropoda; Insecta; Coleoptera; Melyridae.